ACUUAAAUAAUUUAAAAAAAAUAUUGAUUUGUGGAGUCAAAAAUAUGAGAUAUAUAUAUCAUUUUAAGUU
RNAcentral lists this transfer RNA (70 nucleotides) under Issoria eugenia. RNAcentral's name for it is "tRNA-His". The record is from RNAcentral. Lineage: Eukaryota; Metazoa; Arthropoda; Insecta; Lepidoptera; Nymphalidae.